This 541-nucleotide ribosomal RNA is filed under the name uncultured bacterium. Its description in RNAcentral is "bacterial SSU rRNA". It matches the Rfam family "Bacterial small subunit ribosomal RNA", at positions 777 to 1319 of the family's 1533-position model. The record is from RNAcentral.
AAUAGAUACCCCGGUAGUCCAUGCCGUAAACGAUGUCUACUAGCCGUUGGGGCCUUUGAGGCUUUAGUGGCGCAGCUAACGCGAUAAGUAGACCGCCUGGGGAGUACGGUCGCAAGACUAAAACUCAAAUGAAUUGACGGGGGCCCGCACAAGCGGUGGAGCAUGUGGUUUAAUUCGAUGCAACGCGAAGAACCUUACCUGGUCUUGACAUAGUAAGAACUUUCCAGAGAUGGAUUGGUGCCUUCGGGAACUUACAUACAGGUGCUGCAUGGCUGUCGUCAGCUCGUGUCGUGAGAUGUUGGGUUAAGUCCCGCAACGAGCGCAACCCUUUUCCUAUUUGCCAGCGGGUUAAGCCGGGAACUUUAAGGAUACUGCCAGUGACAAACUGGAGGAGGCGGGGACGACGUCAAGUCAUCAUGGCCCUUACGACCAGGGCUACACACGUGCUACAAUGGUCGGUACAAAGGGUUGCUACCUAGCGAUAGGAUGCUAAUCUCAAAAAGCCGAUCGUAGUCCGGAUUGGAGUCUGCAACUCGACUCC